AAAGGAGUGAUCCGGCAGAGGAUGGACAUGCGGCGCAUUAGCUAGUCGGCGGGGUAACGGCCCACCGAGGCUACGAUGCGUAGGGGUUCUGAGAGGAAGGUCCCCCACACUGGUACUGAGACACGGACCAGACUCCUACGGGAGGCAGCAGUGAGGAAUAUUGGUCAAUGGGCGGAAGCCUGAACCAGCCAAGUCGCGUGAGGGAAGACGGUCCUAUGGAUUGUAAACCUCUUUUGCAGGGGAGCAAGGCGCGGUACGUGUACCGCGAAGGAGAGUACCCUGAGAAAAAGCAUCGGCUAACUCCGUGCCAGCAGCCGCGGUAAUACGGAGGAUGCGAGCGUUAUCCGGAUUUAUUGGGUUUAAAGGGUGCGCAGGCGGACUGUUAAGUCAGCGGUAAAAUGUCGGUGCUCAACACCGGCCGGCCGUUGAAACUGGCAGCCUUGAGUGAGCGAGAAGUAUGCGGAAUGCGUGGUGUAGCGGUGAAAUGCAUAGAUAUCACGCAGAACUCCGAUUGCGAAGGCAGCAUACCGGCGCUCAACUGACGCUCAGGCACGAAAGCGUGGGUAUCGAACAGGCUUAGAUACCCUGGUAGUCCACGCAGUAAACGAUGAAUGCUCACUGUCCGGGCCGUUUAAGGCCUGG
Molecule: ribosomal RNA, 642 nt
Filed under: uncultured bacterium
Lineage: Bacteria
Description: bacterial SSU rRNA
Rfam family: Bacterial small subunit ribosomal RNA
Source: RNAcentral